RNAcentral lists this ribosomal RNA (426 nucleotides) under uncultured bacterium. RNAcentral describes it as "bacterial SSU rRNA". It matches the Rfam family "Bacterial small subunit ribosomal RNA", at positions 355 to 773 of the family's 1533-position model. The record is from RNAcentral.
UGGGGAAUUUUGGACAAUGGGGGCAACCCUGAUCCAGCCAUGCCGCGUGUGUGAAGAAGGCCUUCGGGUUGUAAAGCACUUUCGGACGGAACGAAAUCGCGCGGGCGAAUAUCCCGCGUGGAUGACGGUACCGUAAGAAGAAGCACCGGCUAACUACGUGCCAGCAGCCGCGGUAAUACGUAGGGUGCGAGCGCUAAUCGGAAUUACUGGGCGUAAAGUGUGCGCAGGCGGCAGAGCAAGUCGAGUGUGAAAGCCCCGGGCUUAACUUGGGAAUUGCGCUCGAAACUACCUUGCUGGAGUGUGGCAGAGGAAGGUGGAAUUCCACGUGUAGCGGUGAAAUGCGUAGAGAUGUGGAGGAACACCAAUGGCGAAGGCAGCCUUCUGGGCCAACACUGACGCUCAUGCACGAAAGCGUGGGGAGCAAAC